CGAAAAGUUGUGUCCUUCCCUUAGGAUCGAACCGGUGUGUAUAUCCUUGUAUCGAUUCCUGUUGGAGCGUGUGCCCCAGGAGUGCCGGGACCCUGCUGUGUUUCGGGAGGUGGUGGAUCUUCUAUGUGGUGCCUCGUGCUACGAGUUCGGAGGCGGAGUUUAUGGGCAGGGGCAAGGAGUGCCGAUGGGCGGCCCGAUGGCGGGAACCCUCGCUGAACUGCUGUUGGGAGGGCUUGAGUCUGAUAACCUUGGUCAUCUCAUCGAGCGGGCGGUCUUGUGCGUGAGGUGUAUUGAUGAUGUUUUCGCUGUCUGGAGGGAUGGGAGUGGUAUACAGCGGUUGGCCAGCGAUUUCACAUUGCCGGAGUGUGGGCUGGAGCUCAGGCUUGAU
Molecule: long non-coding RNA, 388 nt
Filed under: Androctonus crassicauda
Lineage: Eukaryota; Metazoa; Arthropoda; Arachnida; Scorpiones; Buthidae
Source: RNAcentral